AUGAUGAACGCUAGCUACAGGCUUAACACAUGCAAGUCGAGGGGCAGCAUGGUCUUAGCUUGCUAAGGCCGAUGGCGACCGGCGCACGGGUGAGUAACGCGUAUCCAACCUGCCUUACACUCUUGGACAGCCUUCUGAAAGGGAGAUUAAUACAAGAUGUUAUCAUGAGUAAGCAUUUUCGCAUGAUUAAAGGUUUACCGGUGUAAGAUGGGGAUGCGUUCCAUUAGAUAGUAGGCGGGGUAACGGCCCACCUAGUCUUCGAUGGAUAGGGGUUCUGAGAGGAAGGUCCCCCACAUUGGAACUGAGACACGGUCCAAACUCCUACGGGAGGCAGCAGUGAGGAAUAUUGGUCAAUGGACGAGAGUCUGAACCAGCCAAGUAGCGUGAAGGAUGAAGGUUCUAUGGAUUGUAAACUUCUUUUAUACGGGAAUAAACGGAUCCACGUGUGGAUUUUUGCAUGUACCGUAUGAAUAAGGAUCGGUUAACUCCGUGCCAGCAGCCGCGGUAAUACGGAGGAUCCGAGCGUUAUCCGGAUUUAUUGGGUUUAAAGGGAGCGUAGAUGGGUUGUUAAGUCAGUUGUGAAAGUUUGCGGCUCAACCGUAAAAUUGCAAUUGAUACUGGCAGUCUUGAGUACAGUUGAGGUAGGCGGAAUUCGUGGUGUAGCGGUGAAAUGCUUAGAUAUCACGAAGAACUCCGAUUGCGAAGGCAGCUUACUAACCUGUAACUGACAUUGAUGCUCGAAAGUGUGGGUAUCAAACAGGAUUAGAUACCCUGGUAGUCCACACGGUAAACGAUGAAUACUCGCUGUAGGCGAUAUACAGUCUGCGGCCAAGCGAAAGCAUUAAGUAUUCCACCUGGGGAGUACGCCGGCAACGGUGAAACUCAAAGGAAUUGACGGGGGCCCGCACAAGCGGAGGAACAUGUGGUUUAAUUCGAUGAUACGCGAGGAACCUUACCCGGGCUUAAAUUGCAACCGAAUAUGGCGGAAACGCUAUAGCUAGCAAUAGCGGUUGUGAAGGUGCUGCAUGGUUGUCGUCAGCUCGUGCCGUGAGGUGUCGGCUUAAGUGCCAUAACGAGCGCAACCCUUGCCGAUAGUUACUAACAGGUCAUGCUGAGGACUCUGUCGGGACUGCCAUCGUAAGAUGUGAGGAAGGUGGGGAUGACGUCAAAUCAGCACGGCCCUUACGUCCGGGGCUACACACGUGUUACAAUGGGGGGUACAGAGGGCUGCUACCACGCAAGUGGAUGCCAAUCCCAAAAACCUCUCUCAGUUCGGAUUGAAGUCUGCAACCCGACUUCAUGAAGCUGGAUUCGCUAGUAAUCGCGCAUCAGCCACGGCGCGGUGAAUACGUUCCCGGGCCUUGUACACACCGCCCGUCAAGCCAUGGGAGCCGGGGGUACCUAAAGUGCGUAACCGCAAGGAGCGCCCUAGGGUAAAACUGG
RNAcentral lists this ribosomal RNA (1443 nucleotides) under uncultured organism. Its description in RNAcentral is "SSU rRNA". It matches the Rfam family "Bacterial small subunit ribosomal RNA". The record is from RNAcentral.